UGGCGGACGGGUGAGUAAUGUCUGGGAAACUGCCCGAUGGAGGGGGAUAACUACUGGAAACGGUAGCUAAUACCGCAUAAUGUCUACGGACCAAAGCGGGGGACCUCCGGGCCUCGCGCCAUCAGAUGAACCCAUAUGGGAUUAGCUUGUAGGUAAGGUAACGGCUUACCUAGGCGACGAUCCCUAGCUGGUCUGAGAGGAUGACCAGCCACACUGGAACUGAGACACGGUCCAG
This 235-nucleotide ribosomal RNA is filed under the name uncultured bacterium. RNAcentral describes it as "partial 16S ribosomal RNA". It matches the Rfam family "Bacterial small subunit ribosomal RNA", at positions 96 to 334 of the family's 1533-position model. The record is from RNAcentral.